This 229-nucleotide ribosomal RNA is filed under the name Klebsiella aerogenes. Its description in RNAcentral is "partial 23S ribosomal RNA". It matches the Rfam family "Bacterial large subunit ribosomal RNA", at positions 1 to 230 of the family's 2925-position model. RNAcentral also lists the same sequence under 7 other names. The record is from RNAcentral. Lineage: Bacteria; Pseudomonadati; Pseudomonadota; Gammaproteobacteria; Enterobacterales; Enterobacteriaceae.
GGUUAAGCGACUAAGCGUACACGGUGGAUGCCCUGGCAGUCAGAGGCGAUGAAGGACGUGCUAAUCUGCGAAAAGCGUCGGUAAGGUGAUAUGAACCGUUAUAGCCGGCGAUGUCCGAAUGGGGAAACCCAGUGCAAUUCGUUGCACUAUCGUUAACUGAAUACAUAGGUUAACGAGGCGAACCGGGGGAACUGAAACAUCUAAGUACCCCGAGGAAAAGAAAUCAACC